This 308-nucleotide ribosomal RNA is filed under the name uncultured bacterium. RNAcentral's name for it is "partial 16S ribosomal RNA". It matches the Rfam family "Bacterial small subunit ribosomal RNA", at positions 505 to 807 of the family's 1533-position model. The record is from RNAcentral.
GAGACAGCAGUAGCCGCGGUAAAACGUAGGUGGCAAGCGUUGUCCGGAAUUAUUGGGCGUAAAGGGCUCGCAGGCGGUUUCUUAAGUCUGAUGUGAAAGCCCCCGGCUCAACCGGGGAGGGUCAUUGGAAACUGGGAAACUUGAGUGCAGAAGAGGAGAGUGGAAUUCCACGUGUAGCGGUGAAAUGCGUAGAGAUGUGGAGGAACACCAGUGGCGAAGGCGACUCUCUGGUCUGUAACUGACGCUGAGGAGCGAAAGCGUGGGGAGCAAACAGGAUUAGAUACCCCGGUAGUCCCUGUCUCUUAUAC